Molecule: small RNA, 543 nt
Filed under: Pongo abelii (Sumatran orangutan)
Lineage: Eukaryota; Metazoa; Chordata; Mammalia; Primates; Hominidae
Description: retained intron
Source: RNAcentral
UGGAACAUCAGAGCUGCGAGAGGGCCAGAGGUCUCAGCUGCAGAUCUUCAUUUCACCUAUGCCUGGGUGCGCCCCACAGUGCUGUGUGCUCGGUGCCACCCCUCAUGGGUCUCUAAGUGACCACUGUGGGCUGGGCCAGGGAGCAGCUGGUGGCUGGGAAGUAAGAUCUGACCUGGACCCUAUCCCACCCACACCGUUUCCUGGCCCACAGGUGAUCUCAGGCAAUGAGGACCCUGAGGGAGUGGUGCUGAAGGACCUUGGGCCCCCCAUGGUUGCCCGACUGGUUCGCUUCUACCCCCGGGCUGACCGGGUCAUGAGUGUCUGUCUGCGGGUGGAGCUCUAUGGCUGCCUCUGGAGGGAUGGACUCCUGUCUUACACCGCCCCUGUGGGGCAGACAAUGUACUUAUCUGAGGCCGUGUACCUCAACGACUCCACCUAUGAUGGACAUACCGUGGGCGGACUGCAGUAUGGGGGUCUGGGCCAGCUGGCAGAUGGAGUGGUGGGGCUGGAUGACUUUAGGAAGAGUCAGGAGCUGCGGGUCUG